CAUCUUCUACUCUGUUUUCUUCU
Molecule: microRNA, 23 nt
Filed under: Gallus gallus (chicken)
Lineage: Eukaryota; Metazoa; Chordata; Aves; Galliformes; Phasianidae
Description: gga-miR-6577-5p
Source: miRBase by way of RNAcentral